AACAACUAACUAACCAGUUAUAAUAUUUUUCACUCUUAUAAGGAUUAUUUUACGUUUUUAGCUUAGUAUAUGAACUUAGGGCUAUCCCAAAUCUCAUAAGUUGGUGAACCUCAUGAGAAAGUACUGAAAAUUGCAGUCGAGAACAAUAAAUAAUGGCGAGGGUAUCCAACUGACGAAUCAGUGCAUCCUAAUCUUGUUUGUUUGUUCUCAAGCACAAAGCUACACAAUGGGCUACCUGUUUUUUACCCACCAAGACUAACGAAACCGGGUUUUUAGCGCUAUAAACCUUCAGAGUUAUCGCUGAGCCACGGGAGGGAGCAUCCUAAUCUUUCUACAUUUGUUAUAAAAUUGUGCACUCCUAGUUAGACCGAAGUUCUCCCGGGAGGUCAGCUGUAACUUUCCGGAUGUAGAAGUUCUCCUGGGUAGUCAGCUGUAAUUUUCUGGAUGUAAAAGUUCUCCCGGGAGGUCAGCUGUAACUUUCCGGAUGAAGAAGUUCUCCCGGGAGGUCAGCUGUAACUUUCCGGAUGUAAAAGUUCUCCCGAGAGGUCAGCUGUAACUUUCCUGAUGUAGAAGUUCUGCAGGAAGAUCAGCUAUAACUUUCCGGAUGUAGAGGUUCUCCCGGGAGGUCAGCUGUAACUUUCAGGACUUGAAUGUUUAUUUUCCGCUGUUCAUUUAUUCACGGUGAACAGAGAGCAGGUUGCACAUUAUGCAGCUCUGCGCUAAAAACUAACAACAAUAUAAUGUAGGUCAAGCUGGUUGACCAAUAUGUAAUUCAUUUAUGCCUUUUUCGGCUUUCAAUAAAAGAGAAUUGACUCUUGA
Molecule: long non-coding RNA, 819 nt
Organism: Limulus polyphemus (Atlantic horseshoe crab)
Lineage: Eukaryota; Metazoa; Arthropoda; Merostomata; Xiphosura; Limulidae
Exons: 2
Source: RefSeq, a predicted model, not a curated record